Gossypium arboreum is the source of this 760-nucleotide long non-coding RNA. RefSeq lists it as uncharacterized. The record is from RefSeq and is a predicted model, not a curated record. The transcript has 3 exons. Lineage: Eukaryota; Viridiplantae; Streptophyta; Magnoliopsida; Malvales; Malvaceae.
UCUUCUUAAAUCCGUUCACUUUCCUUCGUCUUUCGCACCAUUUUCAUCCUUCUUCAGUUCUUCUUCAUCAGUUUAUGAGAUUAGGCAAAUCCCUCACCUAUUUUCGAUCUCCCGUCCCUCGCCGCAGCUAUUGCUAUUGAGUGUUGUUGAUACCAUUGUUGUAAAAUUUGUUGUUGUGGCAAAGGUUGUUGAUGUUGUUAUUGUAAAACAAACUGCCAUUGGAUCUCUGAAACUAGUGUUCCUUCUAGCCACUCCGUUCUCUUCCGUCUUCACUUCUAACCUCAUACCUAAUAGUCCAGUCAAUUUAUGUAAAUCCGAGGACCGUCGUUGAAUCGAGGAAAUCCCGAUCUUAUAGAUGUCUUCCUCAACUUUCAGAAUGAAAGAUUUUGUUCGUUAGCUAUCGGAUUCGGGAUCAUCGAAGUCGAAGUCAUCCACACUAUCAAAGCCCUCUGGUACUCUUUUAGUUGAACUCUGGAUAUGGCAUGUAUAGGACUACCUUUUGUUGUUUUUCAAAUACUUUUUGUGAUGUAUGUGUAUGCGACCAUGCGAAAAUGGCUCAUAGAAGUGGAGUAUGGCAUUAGACCAUUUGUGUUUAUGUAUAUGUAUAUGGUUUCAUGAUGUGGAUAUGGACUGGAAUGGAAGUGUUGGGCAAUGAUCAGCCCUUGGAAUGGCUAAAUAUGAUCAUAUAUGGACCUAUGUAUGACAAAACUCUAGUUGGUCCAUGGAAAUCACGAAAUAGGUAAAGUUUACCUUGAAAACA